This 498-nucleotide ribosomal RNA is filed under the name uncultured bacterium. RNAcentral's name for it is "partial 16S ribosomal RNA". It matches the Rfam family "Bacterial small subunit ribosomal RNA", at positions 28 to 523 of the family's 1533-position model. The record is from RNAcentral.
GAUGAACGCUAGCGGCAGGCCUAAUACAUGCAAGUCGAACGAUACCAGAGAGCUUGCUUUCUGGGAAAGUGGCGCACGGGUGCGUAACGCGUAUGCAACCUACCUUACUCAGGGGGAGAGCAUCUCGAAAGAGAGAUUAACACCGCAUAACAUCAUUUUACGGCAUCGUAGAAUGAUCAAAUAUUUAUAGGAUUAAGAUGGGCAUGCGUGACAUUAGCUAGUUGGUGAGGUAACGGCUCACCAAGGCUACGAUGUCUAGGGGAUCUGAGAGGAUGACCCCCCACACUGGUACUGAGACACGGACCAGACUCCUACGGGAGGCAGCAGUAAGGAAUAUUGGUCAAUGGAGGCAACUCUGAACCAGCCAUGCCGCGUGCAGGAAGCCGGCCCUAUGGGUUGUAAACUGCUUUUAUACGGGAAUAAACCUCUCUACGUGUAGGGAGUUGAAUGUACUGUAAGAAUAAGGAUCGGCUAACUCCGUGCCAGCCGCCGCCGUAA